ACGGGGCGCAGCAGGCGCGAAAACUGCACAAUGUGGGAAACCACGAUGCGGGAAACCCAAGUGCCAGCGCAAUGCGUUGGCUGUCCUCCAGUGUUCGUAACUGGGGAAGAAAGUGCUGGGUAUGACGGGUGCCAGCCGCCGCGGUAAUACCCGCAGCACAAGUGGUGGUCAUUAUUAUUGGGCCUAAAGCGUCCGUAGCUGGCUUGUUAGAUGCCUGGGUAAAUCGAUGCGCUCAACGCAUCGAACUCCGGGUAGACCGGCAAGCUUGGGACCGGGAGAGGCGUGAGCUACUCGAGGGGUAGGGGUAAAAUCCUGUAAUCCUUCGGGGAGGACCAGUGGCGAAGGCGUCACGCUAGAACGGCUCCGACAGUGAGGGACGAAGCCCUGGGGCGCAAACCGGAUUAGAUACCCGGGUAGUCCAGGGUGUAAACGCUGCAGACUUGGUGUCGCUGAUCCUACGAGGGUUGGCGGUACCGUAGAGAAGUUGUUUAGUCUGCCGCCUGGGGAGUACGGUCGCAAGACUGAAACUCAAAGGAAUUGACGGA
Molecule: ribosomal RNA, 545 nt
Filed under: uncultured soil archaeon
Lineage: Archaea
Description: bacterial SSU rRNA
Rfam family: Archaeal small subunit ribosomal RNA
Source: RNAcentral